This 1415-nucleotide ribosomal RNA is filed under the name uncultured bacterium. Its description in RNAcentral is "partial 16S ribosomal RNA". It matches the Rfam family "Bacterial small subunit ribosomal RNA". The record is from RNAcentral.
AGAGUUUGAUCCUGGCUCAGAACUAACGCUGGCGGCGUGCCUAACACAUGCAAGUCGAACGAGAAAGGGUCCUUCGGGACCUGAGUAGAGUGGCGCACGAGUGAGUAACGCGUGGGUAAUCUACCCUUCAGCUGGGAAUAACCCAUCGAAAGGUGGGCUAAUACCGAAUAAUACGGCCGGGCUGCGGUUCGGUCGUCAAAGAUAGCCUCUGCUUGCAAGCUUUCGCUGAAGGAUGAGCCCGCGUCCCAUUAGCUUGUUGGUAGGGUAACGGCCUACCAAGGCGACGAUGGGUAGCUGGUCUGAGAGGAUGAUCAGCCACACUGGAACUGAGACACGGCCCAGACUCCUACGGGAGGCAGCAGUGAGGAAUAUUGCGCAAUGGGGGCAACCCUGACGCAGCAACGCCGCGUGAGUGAGGAAGGUCUUCGGAUCGUAAAGCUCUGUCGGGUGGGAAGAAGUGUGCAUAGGUUAAUAGCUUGUGCACUUGACGGUACCGCCAAAGGAAGCACCGGCUAACUCCGUGCCAGCAGCCGCGGUAAUACGGGGGGUGCGAGCGUUGUUCGGAAUCAUUGGGCGUAAAGAGCGUGUAGGCGGCUAGGCAAGUCAGAUGUGAAAUCCCUGGGCUUAACCCAGGAAGUGCAUUUGAAACUGCUUAGCUUGAGUAAGGAAGAGGGAAGUGGAAUUCCUGGUGUAGAGGUGAAAUUCGUAGAUAUCAGGAGGAACACCGGUGGCGAAGGCGGUCCUCUGGGCCUGCACUGACGCUGAGUGCGCGAAAGCUGGGGUAGCAAACAGAAUUAGAUACUCUGGUAGUCCCAGCCCUAAACGGUGGGUACUAGGUGUUCGCCCCUUCAAGGGGUGAGUGCCGCAGCUAACGCAUUAAGUACCCCACCUGGGGAGUACGAUCGCAAGGUUGAAACUCAAAGGAAUUGACGGGGACCCGCACAAGCGGUGGAGGAUGUGGUUUAAUUCGACGCAACGCGAAGAACCUUACCUGGUCUUGACAUGCUGGUGAAAUCCGUGGAAACACGGCCCUCCCGCAAGGGACGCCAGUACAGAUGGUGCAUGGCUGUCGUCAGCUCGUGUCGUGAGAUGUUGGGUUAAGUCCCGCAACGAGCGCAACCCUUACCCUUAGUUGUUUUCCCGAAAGGAUUACCCUCUAAGGGGACUGCCCCGGACAACGGGGAGGAAGGCGGGGAUGAUGUCAAGUCCGCAUGCUUCUUACGACCAGGGCUACACACGUCCUACAAUGGGGUCGACAGAGGGAUGCAAAGCCGCGAGGUAGAGCCAAUCCCUAAACGGCCUCUCAGUUCGGAUAGUAGUCUGCAACUCGACUACUUGAAGUCGGAAUCGCUAGUAAUGGCGGAUCAGCAUGCCGCCGUGAAUACGUUCCCGGGUCUUGUACUCACCGCCCGUCA